CACUGCCGAGAAAAGCCUCUAGCUAGAAUAACGGUGCCCGUACCGCAAACCGACACAGGUAGUCAAGAUGAGAAUUCUAAGGUGAGCGAGCGAACUCUCGUUAAGGAACUCGGCAAAAUGACCCCGUAACUUCGGGAGAAGGGGUGCUCUUUGAGGUUCACGCUUCGAAGAGCCGCAGUGAAUAGGCCCAAGCGACUGUUUAUCAAAAACACAGGUCUCUGCUAAACCGUAAGGUGACGUAUAGGGGCUGACGCCUGCCCGGUGCUGGAAGGUUAAGAGGAGUGGUUAGCGCAAGCGAAGCUACGAAUCGAAGCCCCAGUAAACGGCGGCCGUAACUAUAACGGUCCUAAGGUAGCGAAAUUCCUUGUCGGGUAAGUUCCGACCCGCACGAAAGGCGUAACGAUUUGGGCACUGUCUCAACGAGAGACUCGGUGAAAUCAUAGUACCGGUGAAGAUGCCGGUUACCCGCGACAGGACGGAAAGACCCCGUGGAGCUUUACUGUAGCCUGAUAUUGAAAUUCGGUACAGUUUGUACAGGAUAGGUAGGAGCCUUAGAAGCGUGAGCGCUAGCUUACGUGGAGGCAUUGGUGGGAUACUACCCUAAUUGUAUUGGAUUUCUAACCCGCAGCACUUAUCGUGCUGGGAGACAGUGUCAGGCGGGCAGUUUGACUGGGGCGGUCGCCUCCUAAAGAGUAACGGAGGCGCUCAAAGGUUCCCUCAGAAUGGUUGGAAAUCAUUCAUAGAGUGUAAAGGCAUAAGGGAGCUUGACUGCGAGACCUACAAGUCGAGCAGGGUCGAAAGACGGACUUAGUGAUCCGGUGGUUCCGCAUGGAAGGGCCAUCGCUCAACGGAUAAAAGCUACCCCGGGGAUAACAGGCUUAUCUCCCCCAAGAGUUCACAUCGACGGGGAGGUUUGGCACCUCGAUGUCGGCUCAUCGCAUCCUGGGGCUGUAGUCGGUCCCAAGGGUUGGGCUGUUCGCCCAUUAAAGCGGUACGCGAGCUGGGUUCAGAACGUCGUGAGACAGUUCGGUCCCUAUCCGUCGUGGGCGUAGGAAAUUUGAGAGGAGCUGUCCUUAGUACGAGAGGACCGGGAUGGACAUACCUCUGGUGUACCAGUUGUCGUGCCAACGGCAUAGCUGGGU
Molecule: ribosomal RNA, 1142 nt
Filed under: Staphylococcus pseudintermedius
Lineage: Bacteria; Bacillati; Bacillota; Bacilli; Caryophanales; Staphylococcaceae
Description: partial 23S ribosomal RNA
Rfam family: Bacterial large subunit ribosomal RNA
Source: RNAcentral